GACGAACGCUGGCGGCGUGCUUAACACAUGCAAGUCGAACGGAAAGGCCCCUUUGGGGGUACUCGAGUGGCGAACGGGUGAGUAACACGUGAGUAACCUGCCCUGGCUUUGGGGUAAACUUCGGGAAACGGGGGCAAAUACGGGAAAGGAAUCUUUGUGGCAGGGGGGGGGUUGGAAGGUUCCGGCGGUUUUGGUUGGACUCGCGGCUUAUCAGCUUGUUGGUGGGGUAGUGGCUUACCAAGGCUUUGACGGGUAGCCGGCCUGAGAGGGCGACCGGCCACAUUGGGACUGAGAUACGGCCCAGACUCCUACGGGAGGCAGCAGUGGGGAAUAUUGCACAAUGGGCGGAAGCCUGAUGCAGCAACGCCGCGUGCGGGAUGACGGCCUUCGGGUUGUAAACCGCUUUCAGCAGGGGCGAAGCUUGUGGUGACGGUACCUGCAGAAGAAGCACCGGCUAACUACGUG
RNAcentral lists this ribosomal RNA (465 nucleotides) under uncultured bacterium. Its description in RNAcentral is "partial 16S ribosomal RNA". It matches the Rfam family "Bacterial small subunit ribosomal RNA", at positions 28 to 507 of the family's 1533-position model. The record is from RNAcentral.